GACGAACGCUGGCGGCGUGCUUAACACAUGCAAGUCGAACGGUGAAGGGACCGGUUUUUGCUGGUUCUGGAUGAGUGGCGAACGGGUGAGUAACACGUGAGUAACCUGCCCCCUUCUUCUGGAUAACCGCAUGAAAGUGUGGCUAAUACGGGAUAUUCUGCGCCUGCUGCAUGGUGGGUGUGGGAAAGAUAUUGUUUCGGUGGGGGAUGGGCUCGCGGCCUAUCAGCUUGUUGGUGGGGUGAUGGCCUACCAAGGCGGUGACGGGUAGCCGGCCUGAGAGGGUGGACGGUCACACUGGGACUGAGACACGGCCAAGACUCCUACGGGAGGCAGCAGUGGGGAAUAUUGCACAAUGGGAGCAAGCCUGAUGCAGCGACGCCGCGUGAGGGAUGGAAGCCUUCGGGUUGUAAACCUCUUUCGCCAGUGAAGCAGGCCUGUCCCUUUUGUGGGUGGGUUGACGGUAGCUGGAUAAGAAGCGCCGGCUAACUACGUG
RNAcentral lists this ribosomal RNA (493 nucleotides) under uncultured bacterium. RNAcentral's name for it is "partial 16S ribosomal RNA". It matches the Rfam family "Bacterial small subunit ribosomal RNA", at positions 28 to 507 of the family's 1533-position model. The record is from RNAcentral.